This 496-nucleotide ribosomal RNA is filed under the name uncultured bacterium. RNAcentral describes it as "partial 16S ribosomal RNA". It matches the Rfam family "Bacterial small subunit ribosomal RNA", at positions 28 to 506 of the family's 1533-position model. The record is from RNAcentral.
GAUGAACGCUGGCGGCGUGCCUAAUACAUGCAAGUCGAGCGAACGGACGAGAAGCUUGCUUCUCUGAUGUUAGCGGCGGACGGGUGAGUAACACGUGGAUAACCUACCUAUAAGACUGGGAUAACUUCGGGAAACCGGAGCUAAUACCGGAUAAUAUUUUGAACCGCAUGGUUCAAAAGUGAAAGACGGUCUUGCUGUCACUUAUAGAUGGAUCCGCGCUGCAUUAGCUAGUUGGUAAGGUAACGGCUUACCAAGGCAACGAUGCAUAGCCGACCCGAGAGGGUGAUCGGCCACACGGGAACUGAGACACGGUCCAGACGCCUACGGGAGGCAGCAGUAGGGAAUCUGCCGCAAUGGGCGAAAGCCUGACGGAGCAACGCCGCGUGAGUGAUGAAGGUCUUCGGAUCGUAAAACUCUGUUAUUAGGGAAGAACAUAUGUGUAAGUAACUGUGCACAUCUUGACGGUACCUAAUCAGAAAGCCACGGCUAACUACGU